ACUCGAGUGGCGAACGGGUGAGUAACACGUGGGUGAUCUGCCCUGCACUUCGGGAUAAGCCUGGGAAACUGGGUCUAAUACCGGAUAGGACGAUGGUUUGGAUGCCAUUGUGGAAAGCUUUUCGGUGUGGGAUGAGCUCGCGGCCUAUCAGCUUGUUGGUGGGGUAAUGGCCUACCAAGGCGUCGACGGGUAGCCGGCCUGAGAGGGUGUACGGCCACAUUGGGACUGAGAUACGGCCCAG
Molecule: ribosomal RNA, 241 nt
Filed under: uncultured Actinomycetales bacterium
Lineage: Bacteria; Bacillati; Actinomycetota; Actinomycetes; Actinomycetales
Description: partial 16S ribosomal RNA
Rfam family: Bacterial small subunit ribosomal RNA
Source: RNAcentral